UUUUAAUUGAUAUCACCAGUUAUUUUUUGUCAUAAUUUUUGGCGGUAAGUGCGAAAAACUUGAUUGCAUUUGAUAAUGGACUUCUUAUGGCGAUUCCAGCUAUCAUAAUUCCAACACUCACUGGAAUUUUCAAUGAACAUAACCGAAAUGAGCUCAUAACGAUAACAGCCGUUCAAACAUCUUGGUUCGGAGCUAUUGGAGUUUUUACCAAACCGAUUGGAAGUUUAGUAUCAGGAAUAAUUACAGAUCAAUGGGGUUCGGAAACGGGUGAUGAUUUUUCUGAAUAUUUUUUAUGCAAUUGGAUGGUACACACUUUAUCGAUCUAGUACCGUUUGGCAAGUAUUUGCUGGAGCCGCAGAAGGUGAAAUUAGUUGAGAAUUGGUGUCUCAAAUUCAGACAUGCGCACAGUUUUUUCCAUCAGGAGAGGUGGAAAUAGAGAAUUAUUUUCAGAGUAAAAUCGUUAAUUUUAUCCGGGGGUCAAUUCGAGAAAAAAAAUCUCCAGGAGGGAGUUAAACCGGAAUUCUCCCGGCGCGAAUGUGUCCUCAGAUUCAUUGAUUCAAUCCAAUUGAAUAUGAAUUUUCAUAUCAAUUAACGAAAAAAAUAUAUUUCUCAGAACCUUCAUUUCGAGGUGUUUUCGCUGGUUGAUAUAGUUUAUGAAAUGCAAUUUUUUAUGUAAAAAUAUCCACAAUGUGGAUUACACAUUGUAUAAAACAAAUUUUAUGAUUAAGUUACACAAUGUGGUUUCUUUCAUUAGUCUUUAUAUUUUUGGUUAGUUGCACGGGAAAACGGCCACAACAUUUAUUCGCUAUUGUAGCUGUAUAAUGUUGUAACGUUAGCCUUACUUGGUUCGGAUUCACCUAUUUAUCUGCGGGAUAUAUUUUUUUCGAUCAAGCACAUCGUGAACCAUUUUAUUUAGAAAACAACACUCUUGGAUACAUUCCGUUGGUUUUCUUUAAUCAUAUGGUCUUUUUGUGGAUCCUUGAAUUGAAAUCGAAAGAGAACGAAUGAGUGAGCUCUGUAUUAAUUCAUUGGACUUCUCCAAGAUUUUACAAUUUAAAACAAUUUGGCGGACUGUGAUUCAACGAUCGUGAUUCAACCACUUUAUCUAUCUCACACACAUUAUCACAGAUCAAGUGAUUUCAGUGAAUUCAACUGACACACUUAGAAUCGGACUUAAUUUCCAGUAGAGAAAAAUCAUUUAAAAAAUGGAUUUGGACGUGGGUAUCGACUUGCAGCUGCAAAUUUUCAUUUUGGCCGCCGUAUUUGUUUUCAUUUUAUUUGUGAUUGUUUGUUUUUUGGCCGGAAUUUGCGGUCAAUUAACAAAAAUUAAGAAAAUCCAACGAAAACUCAUUCAAGAUGCCAAUAAUCAUCCAACUGGUUACGAUAAUUAUGCAUAUAGCUCACGCAAUAUUCAACCCGAUGAAGAGCUAUCACGUCGUGGAUACACAAUGUACGAUCCAUAUAGAAACAAUAAUAAUCAAACAUCGAAUGUGUGAGUUUUGCCAUAAAUAUAUGGCAGACAUUUUCCUUUCGUUAGCUUAUCUCCAAAAAAAAAUCUCUUCACAAUAUAUUUAUAUCGCUGUUAAUUGCUUCACUCUUAAUUUUCGCAUAUACCUAUCCUACCAAAGUAAAAAAAUGUCCCAUUAUUCUGAGCUCGAUCCAUUCUUUGUAGUCAUCAAAAUUCAAACAACAACAACAACAACAACAGUGGCAGCCUCAAUCGAUUCACGAAGACGAAACACAUCAUGCAACAAAGUAAUUUGGUCGAAAUGAGUGUGGCAGACGAUGUAGAAAGUCGAGAUGAAGCCGAAUAUGCAAUUGCAAAUGCCGAAACAAUUGUUAUGACCGGCAAUGAUGUUGAAAUGAAGAUAAAAACAAACUAUCCACCAGAGUUUAAGGGCGUUCCGCCACCACCCGCAUUUGCAAAUCGCUUUGACAUUGAGGAAAAUCCAACCACCACCAAAUCAGAAGAACAAAAAUAAACUCAAUCGAUCAAAUUUAGUUUAGUUGCGGCAAGAUGAUGAGGAUCCAUAUUUUAAAUCAGCCAUUUGUUUCAUGAAAAUAUUUCAUGUAUAUUUUUAUUGAAAAUCAAGAUAUAAAUUUCUAUAUUCGAAAAAGUAAAAA
Contarinia nasturtii (swede midge) is the source of this 2124-nucleotide RNA transcript. It is a transcript of the gene named probable serine/threonine-protein kinase DDB_G0291350, with no coding region annotated. Lineage: Eukaryota; Metazoa; Arthropoda; Insecta; Diptera; Cecidomyiidae. The transcript is spliced from 6 exons. The record is from RefSeq and is a predicted model, not a curated record.